GACGUAGGAGGCGAGCGUUGUCCGGAUUCAUUGGGCGGAAAGAGCGCGCAGGCGGUUUGGUAAGGCGGAUGUGAAAUCCCGGAGCUCAACUCCGGACCUGCAUCCGAUACUGCCCGACUAGAGGUAGGUAGGGGAGAUCGGAAUUCCUGGUGUAGCGGUGAAAUGCGCAGAUAUCAGGAAGAACACCCGUGGCGAAAGCGGCUCUCUGGAACGGUACUGACGCUGAGACGCGAAAGCGUGGGGAGCGAACAGG
RNAcentral lists this ribosomal RNA (253 nucleotides) under uncultured bacterium. RNAcentral describes it as "partial 16S ribosomal RNA". It matches the Rfam family "Bacterial small subunit ribosomal RNA", at positions 524 to 776 of the family's 1533-position model. The record is from RNAcentral.